Small nucleolar RNA from Trifolium pratense (red clover), 139 nucleotides. The record is from RefSeq and is a predicted model, not a curated record. Lineage: Eukaryota; Viridiplantae; Streptophyta; Magnoliopsida; Fabales; Fabaceae.
GAGCAAGAGAGUCAGGUUGAAAAAUACCUCAUGACUGCUUCUUGCAUUGAAGGUUGGCGAAAACAAGUACUAAUGGCGAUUCUCCGUGCCUAUCAAAUAAAUUCAGUUUUGAAUAUGGCCUCGAACAAGUCGCUACAUU